AACGAACGCUGGCGGCGUGUCUUAAGCAUGCAAGUCGUGCGGCAAGGGUAGCAAUACCCCUAGAGCGGCGGACUGGUGAGUAACGCGUGGGUGAUCUGCCCUUGGGAUGGGGAUAGCCACUAGAAAUAGUGGGUAAUACCGAAUACGUUCCCCCGACUAUGGUUGGGGGAGGAAAAGCGCUUCGGCGCUGCCCGAGGAUGAGCCCGCGUCCCAUUAGCUGGUUGGUGAGGUAAAGGCCCACCAAGGCGAUGAUGGGUAGGCGGCCUGAGGGGGUGUACGCCCACACUGGGGACUGAGAUACGGCCCAGACUCCUACGGGAGGCAGCAGCUAAGAAUAUUCCGCAAUGGACGAAAGUCUGACGGAGCGACGCCGCGUGGAUGAAGAAGGCCGAAAGGUUGUAAAAUCCUUUUGUUGGGGAAGAAUAACCAUGGGAGGGAAUGCCCGUGGAUGACAUGAACCGACGAAUAAGUCCCGGCUAACUACGUG
This 487-nucleotide ribosomal RNA is filed under the name uncultured bacterium. RNAcentral's name for it is "bacterial SSU rRNA". It matches the Rfam family "Bacterial small subunit ribosomal RNA", at positions 29 to 507 of the family's 1533-position model. The record is from RNAcentral.